This 314-nucleotide ribosomal RNA is filed under the name uncultured Sclerotiniaceae. RNAcentral's name for it is "partial large subunit ribosomal RNA". It matches the Rfam family "Eukaryotic large subunit ribosomal RNA", at positions 40 to 350 of the family's 3401-position model. The record is from RNAcentral. Lineage: Eukaryota; Fungi; Ascomycota; Leotiomycetes; Helotiales; Sclerotiniaceae.
AUAUCAAUAAGCGGAGGAAAAGAAACCAACAGGGAUUGCCUCAGUAACGGCGAGUGAAGCGGCAACAGCUCAAAUUUGAAAUCUGGCUCUUUCAGGGUCCGAGUUGUAAUUUGUAGAAGAUGCUUUGGGUGAGGCUCCGGUCUAAGUUCCUUGGAACAGGACGUCAUAGAGGGUGAGAAUCCCGUACGUGACUGGAUGCCUAUGCUCAUGUGAAGCUCUUUCGACGAGUCGAGUUGUUUGGGAAUGCAGCUCAAAAUGGGUGGUAUAUUCCUUCUAAAGCUAAAUACCGGCCAGAGACCGAUAGCGCACAAGUA